Molecule: ribosomal RNA, 2125 nt
Filed under: Klebsiella variicola
Lineage: Bacteria; Pseudomonadati; Pseudomonadota; Gammaproteobacteria; Enterobacterales; Enterobacteriaceae
Description: bacterial LSU rRNA
Rfam family: Bacterial large subunit ribosomal RNA
Source: RNAcentral
GGGUUGUGAGGUUAAGCGACUAAGCGUACACGGUGGAUGCCCUGGCAGUCAGAGGCGAUGAAGGACGUGCUAAUCUGCGAAAAGCGUCGGUAAGGUGAUAUGAACCGUUAUAACCGGCGAUGUCCGAAUGGGGAAACCCAGUGCAAUUCGUUGCACUAUCGUUAACUGAAUACAUAGGUUAACGAGGCGAACCGGGGGAACUGAAACAUCUAAGUACCCCGAGGAAAAGAAAUCAACCGAGAUUCCCCCAGUAGCGGCGAGCGAACGGGGAGCAGCCCAGAGUCUGAAUCAGCUUGUGUGUUAGUGGAACGGUCUGGAAAGUCCGACGGUACAGGGUGAUAGUCCCGUACACCAAAAUGCACAGGUUGUGAACUCGAAGAGUAGGGCGGGACACGUGGUAUCCUGUCUGAAUAUGGGGGGACCAUCCUCCAAGGCUAAAUACUCCUGACUGACCGAUAGUGAACCAGUACCGUGAGGGAAAGGCGAAAAGAACCCCGGCGAGGGGAGUGAAAAAGAACCUGAAACCGUGUACGUACAAGCAGUGGGAGCACCUUUCGGGUGUGACUGCGUACCUUUUGUAUAAUGGGUCAGCGACUUAUAUUCUGUAGCAAGGUUAACCGUAUAGGGGAGCCGCAGGGAAACCGAGUCUUAACUGGGCGUUAAGUUGCAGGGUAUAGACCCGAAACCCGGUGAUCUAGCCAUGGGCAGGUUGAAGGUUGGGUAACACUAACUGGAGGACCGAACCGACUAAUGUUGAAAAAUUAGCGGAUGACUUGUGGCUGGGGGUGAAAGGCCAAUCAAACCGGGAGAUAGCUGGUUCUCCCCGAAAGCUAUUUAGGUAGCGCCUCGUGAACUCAUCUUCGGGGGUAGAGCACUGUUUCGGCUAGGGGGUCAUCCCGACUUACCAACCCGAUGCAAACUACGAAUACCGAAGAAUGUUAUCACGGGAGACACACGGCGGGUGCUAACGUCCGUCGUGAAGAGGGAAACAACCCAGACCGCCAGCUAAGGUCCCAAAGUCAUGGUUAAGUGGGAAACGAUGUGGGAAGGCACAGACAGCCAGGAUGUUGGCUUAGAAGCAGCCAUCAUUUAAAGAAAGCGUAAUAGCUCACUGGUCGAGUCGGCCUGCGCGGAAGAUGUAACGGGGCUAAACCAUGCACCGAAGCUGCGGCAGCGACACUAUGUGUUGUUGGGUAGGGGAGCGUUCUGUAAGCCUGCGAAGGUGGCCUGUGAGGGCUGCUGGAGGUAUCAGAAGUGCGAAUGCUGACAUAAGUAACGAUAAAGCGGGUGAAAAGCCCGCUCGCCGGAAGACCAAGGGUUCCUGUCCAACGUUAAUCGGGGCAGGGUGAGUCGACCCCUAAGGCGAGGCCGAAAGGCGUAGUCGAUGGGAAACAGGUUAAUAUUCCUGUACUUGGUGUUACUGCGAAGGGGGGACGGAGAAGGCUAUGUUAGCCGGGCGACGGUUGUCCCGGUUUAAGCAUGUAGGCGGAGGUUCCAGGUAAAUCCGGUACCUUUUAACGCUGAGGUGUGAUGACGAGGCACUACGGUGCUGAAGUAACAAAUGCCCUGCUUCCAGGAAAAGCCUCUAAGCAUCAGGUAACAUCAAAUCGUACCCCAAACCGACACAGGUGGUCAGGUAGAGAAUACCAAGGCGCUUGAGAGAACUCGGGUGAAGGAACUAGGCAAAAUGGUGCCGUAACUUCGGGAGAAGGCACGCUGGUGUGUAGGUGAAGUCCCUGCGGAUGGAGCUGAGACCAGUCGAAGAUACCAGCUGGCUGCAACUGUUUAUUAAAAACACAGCACUGUGCAAACACGAAAGUGGACGUAUACGGUGUGACGCCUGCCCGGUGCCGGAAGGUUAAUUGAUGGGGUUAUCCGUAAGGAGAAGCUCUUGAUCGAAGCCCCGGUAAACGGCGGCCGUAACUAUAACGGUCCUAAGGUAGCGAAAUUCCUUGUCGGGUAAGUUCCGACCUGCACGAAUGGCGUAAUGAUGGCCAGGCUGUCUCCACCCGAGACUCAGUGAAAUUGAACUCGCUGUGAAGAUGCAGUGUACCCGCGGCAAGACGGAAAGACCCCGUGAACCUUUACUAUAGCUUGACACUGAACAUUGAGCCUUGAUGUGUAG